Long non-coding RNA from Astatotilapia calliptera (eastern happy), 1261 nucleotides. The record is from Ensembl. Lineage: Eukaryota; Metazoa; Chordata; Actinopteri; Cichliformes; Cichlidae.
UUUCUUCUUCCACUUCGACACAACUGCUUGCUGUUGCUACUUUAUCUCUCCAACCAACCAGCUGGUUAGUUAGCGCAGUAAACUAGUACUUAACGAAUUGAAGAAGCUGCUGGUGUGUGAAAGUAGCUGUCACUCACCGUCGCACUGAACAGCACUUUACGAGGAAUGAGUAAAUGCGACACGGCAUUAGUGGACUCCUGCAAGGAUGGAACAACCUCCCUGCCAGUUGAAGAGCCCCCCAGUUAAGCCGAUGCACAAGAGGCCCCCUGUGCCAGGGCUGAGCCCCUGUGCACCCACCCGCCCACAACCUCGGUGCCACACCGACGAGGACCGAAGCCCCCAAGGCCCAGCCAGAGCCCCAGCACGGAGGCGAAGCACCCCCGAACCCCAAACCCCCACGCCUGCCCCGGAUCCACUCAGGAACACAACCCCCGGGUUAAGCCCUCCAGGGAUAACGUCUCUAGGGGUCCUCCAGGCGCCCUAAGCCCGUCCCAACUCCACAUCAACCACAAUAGCUAAGGCGGGACCAAACCACGACCCCCUACCCCCGCUAGUGAUGGAGCCGAUCAAAGGAGCCCAGAGGGAUUGAUCUAAUGUGGUGGCAGAGGCUAUAUCGAGACUAAUGUGAUCUAUUAGAUGGUUUCUAUAUUGGCUAGAAUUAAGAUUAUUUUUUAUUUUUCCAGUUCAUGAGGACCGUUUUCUUGGCGAUGCAUAGGGCAGUAAAAACCAUGUGGACUGUAUUAGUUUCUGUAGUGACAUCAUCCAAUUUUCCUGUGCCGUUGUGUUCAAUAUAGUUGUUGAUACAGUCAUAAAAACAGACAGCAGUACUGUGUUCCAGGCUGAUAGACCAUCAAAAAGUCUGUGUUCGGGGUCCUGACCAGUGGUAAAGCUGCCUGUUGAUGUUAUUGCAAUUAAGGUUUAAGCUCCACUGACCAGGGCCCUGUGCUUCGUACGUCGCUUACUACAUCCAAGAUCAAAUGAAACAUCCAAGACCAAACCAUCGCGCUAACCGUGAGCGCGCUAAUCCGGUUCCCCGAACACACCUGCUGUUGACGAUUAGUACAGCUGGACGCAGUAAUGUGACAUCACUGGGUGUCGUAAAAGGGGCUACGCAUCGAUAGUAGAAACAUUGAUCGGCAACCCUCUGAUUGGUCGGCGAAAAUGUCGACGGAGCGCGCUCGGCUCGGUAUUUUUCGGCAGCAGAGCAAGAACUCUUGAGUGAGGGAUUUCAGGAGUUUCAGAGUUUAAUCAGAACGCAAGG